GACGAACGCUGGCGGCGUGCCUAAUACAUGCAAGUUGAGCGCUGAAGGUUGGUACUUGUACCGACUGGAUGAGCAGCGAACGGGUGAGUAACGCGUGGGGAAUCUGCCUUUGAGCGGGGGACAACAUUUGGAAACGAAUGCUAAUACCGCAUAAAAACUUUAAACACAAGUUUUAAGUUUGAAAGAUGCCAUUGCAUCACUCAAAGAUGAUCCCGCGUUGUAUUAGCUAGUUGGUGAGGUAAAGGCUCACCAAGGCGGUGAUACAUAGCCGACCUGAGAGGGUGAUCGGACACAUUGGGACUGAGACACGGCCCAAACUCCUACGGGAGGCAGCAGUAGGGAAUCUUCGGCAAUGGACGAAAGUCUGACCGAGCAACGCCGCGUGAGUGAAGAAGGUUUUCGGAUCGUAAAACUCUGUUGGUAGAGAAGAACGUUGGUGAGAGUGGAAAGCUCAUCAAGUGACGGUAACUACCCAGAAAGGGACGGCUAACUACGUG
Molecule: ribosomal RNA, 497 nt
Filed under: uncultured bacterium
Lineage: Bacteria
Description: partial 16S ribosomal RNA
Rfam family: Bacterial small subunit ribosomal RNA
Source: RNAcentral